AUUGAACGCUGGCGGCAUGCCUUACACAUGCAAGUCGAACGGCAGCACGGGAGCUUGCUCCUGGUGGCGAGUGGCGAACGGGUGAGUAAUACAUCGGAACGUACCCUGAAGUGGGGGAUAACGUAGCGAAAGUUACGCUAAUACCGCAUAUUCUGUGAGCAGGAAAGAGGGGGAUCGCAAGACCUCUUGCUUUAGGAGCGGCCGAUGUCGGAUUAGCUAGUUGGUGAGGUAAAGGCUCACCAAGGCGACGAUCCGUAGCGGGUCUGAGAGGAUGAUCCGCCACACUGGGACUGAGACACGGCCCAGACUCCUACGGGAGGCAGCAGUGGGGAAUUUUGGACAAUGGGCGCAAGCCUGAUCCAGCCAUUCCGCGUGCAGGAUGAAGGCCCUCGGGUUGUAAACUGCUUUUGUACGGAACGAAACGGUCCUGGUUAAUACCUGGGGCUAAUGACGGUACCGUAAGAAUAAGCACCGGCUAACUACGUGCCAGCAGCCG
Molecule: ribosomal RNA, 496 nt
Filed under: uncultured bacterium
Lineage: Bacteria
Description: bacterial SSU rRNA
Rfam family: Bacterial small subunit ribosomal RNA
Source: RNAcentral